Molecule: ribosomal RNA, 449 nt
Filed under: uncultured bacterium
Lineage: Bacteria
Description: bacterial SSU rRNA
Rfam family: Bacterial small subunit ribosomal RNA
Source: RNAcentral
CGCCAGACUCCUACGGGAGGCAGCAGUGGGGAAUAUUGCACAAUGGGGGAAACCCUGAUGCAGCGACGCCGCGUGAGCGAUGAAGUAUUUCGGUAUGUAAAGCUCUAUCAGCAGGGAAGAAAAUGACGGUACCUGACUAAGAAGCCCCGGCUAACUACGUGCCAGCAGCCGCGGUAAUACGUAGGGGGCAAGCGUUAUCCGGAUUUACUGGGUGUAAAGGGAGCGUAGACGGUCCUGCAAGCCAGAUGUGAAAUUCCGGGGCUCAACCCCGGACCUGCAUUUGAAACUGUUGGUCUUGAGUAUCGGAGAGGCAGGCGGAAUUCCUAGUGUAGCGGUGAAAUGCGUAGAUAUUAGGAGGAACACCAGUGGCGAAGGCGGCCUGCUGGACGACAACUGACGGUGAGGCGCGAAAGCGUGGGGAGCAAACAGGAUUAGAUACCCGCGUAAGC